CCCUUAGAUGUCCUGGGCCGCACGCGCGCUACACUGACAUGUUCAACAAGUUUCUCCUAGUUCGACAGGACUGGGAAAUCUUUGAACGCAUGUCGUGAUAGGGAUAGAUCAUUGCAAUUAUUGAUCUUGAACGAGGAAUUCCUAGUAAACGCGAGUCAUCAGCUCGCAUUGAUUACGUCCCUGCCCUUUGUACACACCGCCCGUCGCACCUACCGAUUGAAUGUUUCGGUGAAGAUUCCGGAUAGGACUUUUUUGAUUUAUUUCAAUUUUGUCUUAAAAGCUAUCUAAACCUCAACAUUUAGAGGAAGGUGAAGUCGUAACA
Molecule: ribosomal RNA, 322 nt
Filed under: uncultured eukaryote
Lineage: Eukaryota
Description: partial 18S ribosomal RNA
Rfam family: Eukaryotic small subunit ribosomal RNA
Source: RNAcentral